Long non-coding RNA from Seriola dumerili (greater amberjack), 163 nucleotides. RefSeq lists it as uncharacterized. Lineage: Eukaryota; Metazoa; Chordata; Actinopteri; Carangiformes; Carangidae. The transcript is spliced from 4 exons. The record is from RefSeq and is a predicted model, not a curated record.
CGCUCAGCGUCAGCUGCUCACUCAGGACCCCAGUCUGGUUCUGAAGAAGGACUUCAUCACUGGGUUUGUAAGUUCAGCAGUUUCACUCUGGUUUUAUGAGUGUGUAGAUCAGAUGUGUUGGUGUGUUAGUUAGUGUGUUAGUUAGUGUGUUACUUAGUUACUG